This is a long non-coding RNA of Manis pentadactyla (Chinese pangolin), 3300 nucleotides long. RefSeq lists it as uncharacterized. The transcript has 3 exons. Lineage: Eukaryota; Metazoa; Chordata; Mammalia; Pholidota; Manidae. The record is from RefSeq and is a predicted model, not a curated record.
UCCAGCGAAGUCAGCGGAGGCCGGAAGAAUUAUGUGAGACUAUAGGAAAGGCAAGAGGUGAGAGGGACACUGGGCAGGUUUCCCCGAGCCGCUGUCAAGCUCUCAUAUUUAUUGAGCGGACGUUUGAAAAAACAAUGCACAGCACAUCAGAAGGUUGUGUGCCAAACAGGAUGCUGCAGGGAGCGUGCAGGCAGCCACGCAGAGCCACUCUGAUGACUUCAAAGGAAAGCAAACCCUCCGCACCCAGUAAUAGACAAGCGAAGGACGUCAUGCUGCAAAGGAAACAGUGUUCUGCUUCCAGGGCGGCCCUUCCGCUUUCUGGUCCCGGACUUGGCCGUUUGGCUCCCCACGGAUCCCCCUUUUUGUUUGAAUAUUGUUGGUGCUUCUUGGAACACAGCAAGCUGCCCAGUUAAAUGAAGAACUGCCUGGCUUUGUAAAUGCCCAAGGGAAGCACAUUAAAAAGGAACACAAAUAUCCAAAGAUAAACCAAAUGAUGACUUAAUUCAAAUUUUUAAAGUAUAGUAUUUCCCAAGAAGUCUGAAAAGAAUUGAGAAAUUCAAUGAGUUUCAAUGAAAGCAGAAGAAUCUACCAUCUGCUACCAUUCUCUCAAGAAUGCUUGGUAACCUAGAUUAUUUUGACUUUCUAUAUAUUGUCUUUAAAAACUGACAGCAGCAGUCUCCCCUGCUGCCCCACCUUUUUAAGAUAUCUUGUUUACUGUGCUGGGUAUAUAGACAAUAAAUGUGUAAUGAUAGACAGUUCUAAAAAAAUUAAAUGCAAAAAAGUGCUUUUACCUCUAGUUAACUCUGAUAUUUUCCAGAGGGCCCCUGGAACAUGUCAGAAGAAUUUUUUCUCAUUAGAGAAAGUAUUUUGACUAAUUUGGCUUAUUUAUCUGAUAUAUAUAUAUAUAUAUAUAUUUACCAGAAAAGCACUGUCAAAGAGAAUGAUGCUAAACUUUGUUACUGAAUGUUUUGUAUUGCAGAAAUAUCAGAAUUUCCUUAUGUCAACUGUCUUACAGUAAGCUCUCAUCAGAUCUUUAACCAUUGUCAUUUGUAAGUCUUUUGUCAUUUAUAGUCACUGUUUUAUUAUUUCUAAACUAGUAAAGAACUAGAUUUCAGCAGAACAGGUAUAAGUUACAUAAGAUUACAUAAACUAAAAAAAAUAGUUUUGUCUUUUUGUUUCGAAUGUUGCUGAUAGAGUGUUUUGAGCUUGUUCUCUUAAGCCAACAACAGUUUAGUAAAUAGCUGUCUUUAUAAGCAGAGUUGAAACAUCCUUCUCUCUACCUGAUCCCUACAGAGUUUAAAAACUUUCAGUGACUGUUUUUGUAUUCCAUGGCAGUAUGUUUAUUUGCACGAGUUUAGUAAGAAUCUGCUUUCCUUGUGAGAAGACUAAUUAAGAACACUGGUAAUACUGCCAGGGCUUUGGCUAGAAUGUCAUACCUGAGAGACAUGUGCAUAGACUCAGAUGUAAACAACUUUAAAGAACUAAGAUUGACUUUAUAAAGUCAACAAAGCCCCUUGGAAGAACUAGCCUAGUACCUUGCUUACAGAGUUCCCAGCAGCCUUACCAGGUGAGUAAAGAAGGUCGCUUCCUGGCAGGUGCAGAGACCUCGAGAAGAGAGAGAAAAGAUCCUCCUGGAAGCACGAAAGAACGUGCCUAGAACUGAUAGACGACCAUCGCGACUCCCUCAUAAUAUAGAGAGAGGGUUCCCGCUGACCAGACCCAACUAAGACUUUAAUUCUCCAGAAAGUAGAGAGCGACUAACCAUCUAUUGCCAGGCUCUAGUGGCGAGUCUCCGUGGGGCCGCAAGGCGCCCCACUAAUUUGGCCAAGGUUACGGGCCCUAGAAGUUGUACAGAGAGAAGUGUGGGCCUCCGUCCAGGAAGCCUAUCGGCCAGAAGACCUCUCAGUGCCCCAUCAGUUCCAGGUGGGAGACUCUGUCUACGUGAGACGACACCAAACAAGAAAUCUUGAGCCUCAGUGGAAAAAACCCUUUAUCGUCCUCCUGACCACCUCCACAGCCGUGAAAGUAGACGGCAUCUCCUCCUGAGUACACGCAUCACAUCUGAAGAAAGCGCACCAGCCAGACCCGGAUUGGCGAGUAACUCGGACUGAUAACCCAUUUAAGCUUCGCUUGUGCAGAAAAAAACAUGCUAUCAGUGAAUUUGAACCCAGACGGAGAUAUAGAAGAGAACCAGUUUCGCUGACUCUAGCUGUGCUAUUAAGAGUAAGAGUUGCAGCUAGAGUAAAAACGGGGACAGCCGCUAUUAUCCAAGAGAACCAGCAUUACGAGAAAUUAAGAGCAGCUAUUAAUGAAAAUUUAAAAACCAUAGAACAAUCCAUUACCAAACUUGAAGAAUCCUUAACCUCUCUUUCUGAAGUAGUCCUGCAAAACAGGCGAGGAUUAGAUCUACUGUUCUUAAAAGAAAGAAAAUUGUGUGCAGCCCUGAGAAAAGAAUGCUGCUUCUAUGCAGACCAUUCUAGAAUAGUAAAAGAUUCAAUGUCUAAACUCAGAGAAAGACUAGAUCAAAAGGAAGAGAGAGCGAGAAGCCAGCCAAGAGCUAUUUGAGUCCUAGUUUACUAGAUCUCCGUGGCUUACAACCUUGAUAUCCACCUUGACUGAGCAUUUACUUAUUCUUGUACUACUCCUCACUUUAAGACCCUGUAUACUAAAUCGGCUGAUAACUUUUGUUAGAAAAAGAGUGAGUACCGUUCAAGUGCUGAUGUUGAAGCAACAAUAUCAUUCACUCACACAACAAGAACACACAAGCAUUCCAUGAUUGGAAUGCUCCUUAAAAAGAAGUGGGAAAUGUGGAAUCCAUCAUUAAGAAUCAACCUUAUCAAGGAUAGAAAGUUAGCAUAAGCGUAGCCAUCUUAAAAAGCUUAGACACCAUUCUCUAACCGAGAAGGAAGAAAAUAGGAAAAUAUUAGAACCUUGAAAAACAAGUUAGUCAGCCAGUGUUGAUUGCAGUGACCUUUAGUUAGCUAACCUCAAUCAGUUAAUCAUACAUGCCAAGCUUAUCUUACUAAGAACCACCCUAACAUUCCAAGGGUGAUCUUAUCUCGCCAGACCCCCAGGAUGUGGCGUCAGCCGAAAUGUAUAUGUUUUUGGAAAAACAAUGUGAUGUGCUUGUGGAAAAAUACUGCCCUUUUUGAAAAUGCUAUAAAAACCUCUGACUUUAAGUGCUCGGGGUCCUCGUUGAAACCCGCUGUGUCGGGCAGACACUUGGACCCCAGCUAACUGGAAUAACAAUAAACCUCUUGCUUGUUGCAUCGAUCUGCCGUGGCCUUCGUUCGUUUUCUC